AGCAAGACUCCGUUAUGGUGCAAUUCCAACCUGUAUAAUGAGAAAUGAAGGAAAGAUGGAGAUCAUGUGGCCUGUCCUCUGUGCUCCUGCUGCCUUGCCUCUGCUGCUCCUUGAGAGCUCUGCUUUGACAUUUUGCAGUAAGGAGAUGUGGCCAAGUAGACACAUUGUCAG
Long non-coding RNA from Myiozetetes cayanensis, 171 nucleotides. RefSeq lists it as uncharacterized. The record is from RefSeq and is a predicted model, not a curated record. The transcript has 3 exons. NCBI's taxonomy places the organism in Eukaryota, Metazoa, Chordata, Aves, Passeriformes, Tyrannidae.